AGAGUUUGAUCAUGGCUCAGGACGAACGCUGGCGGCGUGCCUAACACAUGCAAGUCAAGGGGAAAGUUUAACUUCGGUUUAACGAGUAUACUGGCGGCCGGGUGAGUAACGCGUAGGCAACCUGCCCUUUCGAACGGGAUAACCCAGCGAAAGUUGGACUAAUACCGUAUACUGCAUAUUGAUCGCAUGAUUACUAUGUUAAAGGUUGCUCUUCGGAGCACUCGCGAGAGGAUGGGCCUGCGUUCCAUUAGUUAGUUGGUGAGGUAACGGCUCACCAAGGCAGCGAUGGAUAGCUGAUUUGAGAGAGUGGUCAGCCACCCUGGGACUGAGAUACGGCCCAGACUCCUACGGGAGGCAGC
Molecule: ribosomal RNA, 359 nt
Filed under: uncultured bacterium
Lineage: Bacteria
Description: bacterial SSU rRNA
Rfam family: Bacterial small subunit ribosomal RNA
Source: RNAcentral